UACGAGGGGUGCAAGCGUUGCUCGGAAUUAUUGGGCGUAAAGGGUAGGUAGGUGGUCUCAUUUGUCUGGGGUGAAAGCCUUGAGCUUAACUCAAGAAGUGCCCCAGAAACGGUGAGACUGGAGUCCUGGAGAGGGUCGUGGAAUUCCCGGUGUAGCGGUGAAAUGCGUAGAGAUCGGGAGGAACACCAGCGGCGAAGGCGGCGACCUGGACAGGUACUGACACUCAGGCGCGAAAGCGUGGGGAGCAAACAGG
This 253-nucleotide ribosomal RNA is filed under the name uncultured bacterium. Its description in RNAcentral is "partial 16S ribosomal RNA". It matches the Rfam family "Bacterial small subunit ribosomal RNA", at positions 524 to 776 of the family's 1533-position model. The record is from RNAcentral.